CAAGACCCCCGAGGGACGUUUGCCGGGACUCGAAUCCCAGAAUAAGCAGGAGAGACAAGGAGAGAAGCGAGAGAGAUGGAAGACGCCAAACGCGAUCUCAUCAAGCAGGUGAGAAACCAUGAGAUCGCCAUCGCUGAGCUCGACAGUCUUCGGCCUUCUCGGUCUGUUUAUCAGAAAGAUGGGAACAUAUACUUUAGAACGACAAUCCAGAAGGCGAAAGCAUCUGAGCAAAAACAAGUCGGUUCGGCCAAAGCAAAGCUGGAGAGGCUGAAUGUAACAUGAAGUCGGCACAAAAUGGCAGAUAGCUGGCUAUGCUUCUUCUGCUCUUCAAUCUUCAGCUACAAGGUA
Long non-coding RNA from Rhodamnia argentea, 348 nucleotides. RefSeq lists it as uncharacterized. The record is from RefSeq and is a predicted model, not a curated record. The transcript is spliced from 4 exons. NCBI's taxonomy places the organism in Eukaryota, Viridiplantae, Streptophyta, Magnoliopsida, Myrtales, Myrtaceae.